Molecule: ribosomal RNA, 419 nt
Filed under: bacterium
Lineage: Bacteria
Description: partial 16S ribosomal RNA
Rfam family: Bacterial small subunit ribosomal RNA
Source: RNAcentral
UGGGGGAUAUUGCACAAUGGGCGCAAGCCUGAUGCAGCGACGCCGCGUGGGGGAUGAAGGCCUUCGGGUUGUAAACUUCUUUUGCUCUGAACAAGGCGCACUUUGGGGUGUGUUGAGUGUAGGGGUUGAUUAGCGCCGGCUAACUACGUGCCAGCAGCCGCGGUAAUACGUAGGGCGCGAGCGUUGUCCGGAAUUAUUGGGCGUAAAGGGCUUGUAGGUGGCUGGUUGCGUCUGUCGUGAAAGCUCAUGGCUUAACUGUGGGUUUGCGGUGGGUACGGGCUGGCUUGAGUGCAGUAGGGGAGGCUGGAAUUCAUGGUGUAGCGGUGGAAUGCGCAGAUAUCAGGAGGAAUACCGGUGGCGAAGGCGGGUCUCUGGGCUGUUACUGACACUGAGGAGCGAAAGCAUGGGGAGCGAACAGG